CAGGGAACAACUGCAGCUAUAAGAUCCUCAAACACACGUUGCGAGUAGUUGUCAAUCUGAGUAACAGUUGAUUCUCCAAUAACAGUAAGUAUAUCCAAUAUAUGUUCCAACAUCUUGUCUGGAAUGACCUUUAUAAUUGAGGAUAACAGUGAGAAUAUAUGGUUGCGCGUGACCCCAUCCUUUGCAGAACGGGAACACUCAACCAACAUUUUGAUGUCUAUUUUAUUUGGUAUGUCAUCCUUUAGUGGGACAGUUUUUACAGAUGAAGCAAUAAUAUCUUCCAGUAUUAAUAAGAGCGCAUGCUGAAUGU
This 310-nucleotide unclassified non-coding RNA is filed under the name Hevea brasiliensis (rubber tree). The record is from RNAcentral. Lineage: Eukaryota; Viridiplantae; Streptophyta; Magnoliopsida; Malpighiales; Euphorbiaceae.